AUGACUUUGGAUUAAUUUGAAGAGAAGCGUGGAGGAUCCGGGGUGGAUGCCUGCAGCUGCAUAACAAGGCCUGUUGUUGAAGACGAGCUUUGAUUACUUCAUAGCGCCUCACUGAAGCCCCCGAUACUGAUGAACAUACAGAAACACAUGGCAUUUGACAUCGAUGAUGACAUAACCGCAAUGCACUAUGUCUAAUUUGGCAUUAACUUUUACAUAUAGUGUUACACAGUGAGAUACAUUUGUGACAUGCAGAUUUGCAUGGAGCUGAGAAAGAUAAAUGGGGUUGAAAUCAGGAAUUCUACUGAUGUAAUGCUCAGGGAGUGCGAUUCACAUGCAGGGAUUAGAUUUCGUUCGCGUCGGUGUGAAGGGAACCAUCUGAUGAGGCUUUGAUGUCGUGCGAGGCGAGCUAUGUCUCCCGCCAAAUCUCACGCCAUUCAUAUGUUUGUCAGAUGAAACGAAAGCUGUAAUAUGAAAUACAAAUGCGAAACACCCAAAAUUAACAAAAAAAAAUUAAAUAGUGAGCUCUAUAACCAACAUGUAAAGCACCUAAAAUUUCGGAAGAAAUCUGUAGCAGCUGUUUUCACUUUUUGUCCAUGAGACCUCUUUGGCUUUUGUCCCAGAUAUGCAAAGAGUGGGAGUUUGAUUAAAUCCUAACCGGAACCUUUUUUUUCAUCACCUGGUUAAUUGUGUCGGAUUAUGUCCAACACGUCAAUUAUAACAAAUAUUUCCCUACCAAUGACAAACAUAAGCGUUUGCAUUAGAUUUACCAAGGAAACUAAAGAUAUAUUAUCUUAGUUACAAAUUUAUUGCUUUGCAAGUCAACAUAGAAGAUUUAUUUUGAAUUCACUUAUUGUUUUCUAUGCCUGCCAAUUCUCAGGCUUUUUUUUCUAUACAUGUGUACUUCGUCAGGAUCACUCAGCCAGUAAUCCAAUCAAGUGCUGCACACAUUGGGGUCCCUAGGGUUCAAGAGCCACGCGAGAUCGAGGAAGAAGCAGAGGAAGAGGAGGGUGCAGCAACUCUUCACGGAUCUCACCAUCCUAGGAAACAAGACAUCGCAGAACUUGUAAUUGAAAGAUUGCAGCUCCCAGGCAGACAGAACUCCAGGAAGGUCUGUCUUCUCCCUGCUUAUUUACAGCACUGGACGAGCACUGGAUGAGCACUGGAGGAGCACUGAAGCAGCUCAUGGCCCACAGUAAAAAGCCUGGACUGCAAGCAGCCAGAUUCUCCUGGGCUAAGAGUCACAGAACAGUUCAUUUCCCAGGCUGUGGAGAUGGAAAAACAAAGCUAACUGCCAUGUUAGUGAGCUGGAUGUGGCUCCACUGUGCUGCUGCACCAAAUGAAAUCACAGCGACGGCACGACGACCCCCCCCCCCACUGCCUGUAAGGGGCUCCAAACUUUGCUGAUUUUGGCUCUUCAGCAAACUCAGUUUAAUGAUCGUUUGGCCCCCAUGACCACUCAUCCCAACCUUUUAAAAAGGAACAAAGUGACAUCACUCCGACAGGGAAGUUCAGCGAAAAUCCAUUUCUGUUCUUUUUCAAGACGCGUUACGUGAGGCACAAGUUCAGCACACAGGCAGGGUUUUGUUAGUACUACUGGACUGGUGAGGUUAUGCCUGGAAAAAACUGUACCUAGGUUAGUUUCCAGGCAUACAUAAACUGUUAUUGGACUAAUAGAACUAACAUAACACACCAGCCUAGAAGUACAUAAAUCAGUAAGUAAAUCUCUAAAAUUCAGAUACUUCUUCAUAACCUCCUGAAAACUCAGUGGCAGGCGGUGUCAAUAAUUGCUGGUAUGUUCCUUAAGUUCCCCCCCCCCGAGACACGGAGAGUAAACAUGCUCUCCCUUCCAAACACAUGAAGGCACACAGACCGUGCACUGGACAGGGCUGCCAGCUACAGUCUUUAAACCAGAUGUCUGAGUCAUGCAGACAUUAUGAAAGCCACCUUUGAUAGAAGUGUGUGUAUAUAUAUAUAUUGGAGUCAUGAUAUGUGUAUUAAAGUGAUUUAGAUAAUAGCACACAGAGAGACACGUGGAACCGUAAAAAGCCAACAGAAACCCAGCUGAAGAGGAUGUAGAAUUACUCUGCACAUGCAAAGCAGCUUCCCCUCACUCUGUGAUUGUAAUUGUCCUGUGUUGGACUAUUUUUUUUAAUCCAGCUGUGUGGAACAGUCAUUAUGACUGCAAGCUGAAUACUCAAAGAGCUGAGCUGAGGUCCUCAUUCUCCUCUGAAGAGUAUUAUCCCAGAUAAUAUAAAUGAAAUCAUCCAAUGCAUCAAUAACAUUAAUAAUAAUCAAUAUUUAAUUAAUCAAGCAUGAUAUUAUAUUAUGAUAUUAUGGAAUAUAAUAUAUGUAAGUUCACUGUAAUACUGUUAUAAUACACUGAUUCUACAAACCAUA
Molecule: non-coding RNA, 2397 nt
Organism: Paramormyrops kingsleyae
Lineage: Eukaryota; Metazoa; Chordata; Actinopteri; Osteoglossiformes; Mormyridae
Source: RefSeq, a predicted model, not a curated record